This is a long non-coding RNA of Oryza brachyantha (malo sina), 2106 nucleotides long. RefSeq lists it as uncharacterized. The transcript is spliced from 2 exons. The record is from RefSeq and is a predicted model, not a curated record. Lineage: Eukaryota; Viridiplantae; Streptophyta; Magnoliopsida; Poales; Poaceae.
CACGCGAGGCGGCGGCGUGCGGCUGCGACGCGAGGGGACGGCGCGGCCGGCGACGCGAGGAGGCGGCUCUCGCGUCGUGACCGGCGACACAAGGAGACGGUGCGGCUGCUCACUGACGUCAACGGCGAUGAUGACCUCCGCUGCCUUCUCGCCGGAUUCAGGAAAGAUAUAUACUACAUACUGAACUUUCAUAUCUUUUAGCGGACGAUAUCUAUUACUGGAGGAGUAUAAUUAAGGCCAGAUUCAUGUCAUCAAGCAGGUAAGUAUAUCCCUUUGUGCUAUAGCUAGCUAGCAUGCUUGGUUCAUGUUCAUCGAGCGAUUGGUCGUGCAGAGGAACUAUAAUUUUUUUUUUUGCUGGUGAUCAAGAUGAGCACGGACAAUACUAAAAGACUUCUGAGCCUCAUAUUGCACUGACUAGGACAUAUUAAAGUCCAUUAAUUAAUUUGAAUUGAAAUUAAGUGCAGGCAGACCUUUAGAUUUGUGCAGUACUUAAAUAUAAACUUCUGCAUUUUUUGCAGUCAGCUUUGUUACUUAGAUGUGUUUUCUUGCUUAUGUAGAUUAGAGUUCGUUUCCUUUCAUCUUAGUAUUGUUGUCAUUGGAAAUACUAGAAUGAAAUUCUCCUAUUCAAUUAAGCAAGAAACAAGACAAGUAAAAUUAUAGCCCACAAAUCGGAACGAUCGACUUGGCUAUAAGCCAAUUCAACUGUUCAAGUGGAACUGCAUGACUGGCAUUGUCCAGAAGUUUAUGCUUUGAAUUGAUUAUAGUUCUAGAUUGCAGUGGUGUUUUUGUUGCAUUGUAUAAUGGUCUUUGAAUUGAUUUAUAUCAUGCUAAUAUUGAAAGCUAGAAUAGACCGAAGACUUUUGCAGAUGCAAAACCCACAAAUUCUUGAAAUUUAUAACUCAGCUUUUCCUUGAAAAUUUCUUGUUUAUUAUAUUUUUCUUGGCUGAUAACCUCAUCUUUCAAAACAUUGUGCUAAUAUUUGUCAUGGAAUAUUUGCCAUGACAAUCUUGUGCUCGGUUUCUUUUUGCUGAUAAUUCAUCAUAGUGAUACCUCUUAAUUGUAAUUAUUCAACCAAAAUUUCAUUAAUUUGGGUACAGUAGCAGUAGCAGUAGUGUGCAUAUAUAAAUUCUGAUUGUGCAUAAAUAUGAUUGUGCAUUUCCUAAUUUCUAGUUACUUUGUGCUUUUAUUCAGAUUGUGCAUAAAGGUUAGUUCUCUCAAAGUUAAUAUCGUACAGUCUUCUUGUAGCUUCUACUCCCAAAAGUACAGUGCUUGGUGCAGUUCUUUUAUUCAUAAGCUUGGCAGAUAAUAAUAUUUAUGCAUAUUAUUAUCCCUCUUGUGGCACUUGAGAUCUCAGGGACUAAUCACUUUUCAGGCAUGCAAGGGCAUGGAAUUAUGGUAUCUCUACUACGACUUCAGUUAUAUAUUUUUCACUGCAUACCUUUCCAGCUACUUUUUAGUUAUAUAUAGCCUAGUAUAGUUUAUUUUGGGAGUGCACACAAUUAUAUGCAAAGAUGACAGUGUUAAGAAAAAUAUUUGGAUAGUUAGGAGUCAACAUUAUGAGCAAUGAAAUAAAGUACUUAAAACACAAUUAUCAUGCAGAUGCCUGCAAUAGCAGGCCAUAGGUGCUUUAAAGCUGAAUGUUGCUAACUCUGAAUCUCAUCAGUAUGAUAUUUUAUAAAGCUUGAUGCUGUCACACUUAUGCACUUUUGUCUCUUUAUCUGUAUGAUGAUCAUAAUGCUUGAUUAAUUGGGGGACUAACGCCAAGUUUUCUGUUCAUUCUAAAUUUUGGAAUAAAUGCUUAAGUUAUAACUGAGUCCCAAUCAAGUACUAAGUUACAUGCUCUUUAUUAUGUGUAGAUCAAUGAUUGGAUUCUGGACAUCAUUGGUUGUGCUCUACUCUUCAAAAGUCAAGAUCGCUUAGAUGUAGACUAUCAAGUCAUUGCUGCUCAUCCAGAAUGCAAUUUGAUCUUCUUAGUUUAUGGAUCGAGCAAUAUUUUGAUUUGUACUGCCCAUAUUUGCCAUAUGUUCCAUUAUUUUGAUGUCAUACCAAAUGGAUCGAGCAAUAUUUUGAUGUCAUACCAAAUGGAUCAGGAGUGGUUUUUCUUCA